GACGAACGCUGGCGGCGUGCUUAACACAUGCAAGUCGAACGGAAAGGCCCCUUUGGGGGUACUCGAGUGGCGAACGGGUGAGUAACACGUGAGUAACCUGCCCUUGACUUCGGGAUAACUUCAGGAAACUGGGGCUAAUACCGGAUAGGAAUCCUUGCUGCAUGGUGGGGGUUGGAAAGCUUCGGCGGUUUUGGAUGGACUCGCGGCUUAUCAGCUUGUUGGUGGGGUAGUGGCUUACCAAGGCUUUGACGGGUAGCCGGCCUGAGAGGGCGACCGGCCACAGUGGGACUGAGAUACGGCCCAGACUCCUACGGGAGGCAGCAGUGGGGAAUAUUGCACAAUGGGCGGAAGCCUGAUGCAGCAACGCCGCGUGCGGGAGGACGGCCUUCGGGUUGUAAACCGCUUUCAGCAGGGGCGAAGCUUGUGGUGACGGUACCUGCAGAAGAAGCACCGGCUAACUACGUG
RNAcentral lists this ribosomal RNA (465 nucleotides) under uncultured bacterium. RNAcentral describes it as "partial 16S ribosomal RNA". It matches the Rfam family "Bacterial small subunit ribosomal RNA", at positions 28 to 507 of the family's 1533-position model. The record is from RNAcentral.